Non-coding RNA from Podarcis lilfordi (Lilford's wall lizard), 150 nucleotides. Lineage: Eukaryota; Metazoa; Chordata; Lepidosauria; Squamata; Lacertidae. The record is from the annotation of a GenBank genome assembly.
AAAACUCAUGCUUCAGGCAGCUGCAUUUAUUUCAAAACACCCCCCAUGUUUUCAAAUAUAAAUGUUCAUCUUGUACAAGAUACACAUUUAUACUUGAAAACAUGGGGGGGGUGUUUUGAAAUAAAUGCAGCUGCCUGAAGCAUGAGGAAU